AGUGAACGCUGGCGGUAGGCCUAACACAUGCGAGUCGAACGGCAGCACAGUAAGAGCUUGCUCUUACGGGUGGCGAGUGGCGGACGGGUGAGGAAUACAUCGGAAUCUACUUUUUCGUGGGGGAUAACGUAGGGAAACUUACGCUAAUACCGCAUACGACCUACGGGUGAAAGCAGGGGAUCUUCGGACCUUGCGCGAUUGAAUGAGCCGAUGUCGGAUUAGCUAGUUGGGGGGUAAAGGCCCACCAAGGCGACGAUCCGUAGCUGGUCUGAGAGGAUGAUCAGCCACACUGGAACUGAGACACGGUCCAGACUCCUACGGGAGGCAGCAGUGGGGAAUAUUGGACAAUGGGCGCAAGCCUGAUCCAGCCAUACCGCGUGGGUGAAGAAGGCCUUCGGGUUGUAAAGCCCUUUUGUUGGGAAAGAAAAGCAGCAGGUUAAUACCCCGCUGUUCUGACGGUACCCAAAGAAUAAGCACCGGCUAACUUCGUG
Molecule: ribosomal RNA, 491 nt
Filed under: uncultured bacterium
Lineage: Bacteria
Description: partial 16S ribosomal RNA
Rfam family: Bacterial small subunit ribosomal RNA
Source: RNAcentral